GCCUACGGGGCGCAGCAGUAGGGAAUCUUCCACAAUGGGCGAAAGCCUGAUGGAGCAAUGCCGCGUGGGUGAAGAAGGUCUUCGGAUCGUAAAACCCUGUUGUUAGAGAAGAAAGUGCGUGAGAGUAACUGUUCACGUUUCGACGGUAUCUAACCAGAAAGCCACGGCUAACUACGUGCCAGCAGCCGCGGUAAUACGUAGGUGGCAAGCGUUAUCCGGAUUUAUUGGGCGUAAAGAGAACGCAGGCGGUCUUUUAAGUCUGAUGUGAAAGCCUUCGGCUUAACCGGAGUAGUGCAUUGGAAACU
RNAcentral lists this ribosomal RNA (305 nucleotides) under uncultured bacterium. RNAcentral's name for it is "bacterial SSU rRNA". It matches the Rfam family "Bacterial small subunit ribosomal RNA", at positions 337 to 634 of the family's 1533-position model. The record is from RNAcentral.